Molecule: RNA transcript, 3365 nt
Organism: Cyprinus carpio (common carp)
Lineage: Eukaryota; Metazoa; Chordata; Actinopteri; Cypriniformes; Cyprinidae
Gene name: meiosis-specific nuclear structural 1
Source: RefSeq, a predicted model, not a curated record
GUUAGUCAAAAAACCAAGAGUAGUCUGUUUAACGAACUGGGUAAUCGUUGCAGAUGCUACAAUCGAUGCGCGAAUAAAGGUUAAAUUAAUUAGCGAGGCUGUGCUGUGGAACUUAGUAGAGACGGUCUCUUUGCAGUCUUUCAUGAGCCAGCAGCGCGACAUCUCUCACAGCCACCAUCAGAAGAUGAUGCUGGAGUUCCGCAAACAGGAGGAAAUGCGUGAAGAUCAAACUAAACGCAUCGCCAAAGAGCGGCAGCUGCAAGCCAACAUCCAGUGCGACGAGAGAGUCGAGAAAAAGCGCUUCCUGCGCAAAAUGCAAGACGAAGAGUAUGGCAGACAAAUCGAGGAAUCACUUCUCAAGGCAGAAGAGGACAGACAGUUCAGAGAGAGGCAGCUUGAACAGGAAGAGAGGAUGGCCAAGGAGCUGGCCAGAAUUAAUAAUGAGAAACUCCGAGAUGAGAAGAUGAGGCAGUGCAUUAAAGAGAACAGCGUUGAGCUUCAAGAGCUAGAGUUAAAGCUCAAGUCUGCCUACCUGAACAGAGAGUGGGCAGCACAGGUGGCAGAGAAGGAAGCCGUGCGAUAUGAGACAAUGCGACAAGAGGCUGCUGUUGCCCGUAAGAUGAAGGACGAGCACAAGUGUGCAGACAUGGAGAAGGAGAAGCAGGAGCAGAGGAAGUAUGAAGAGGUAGUGCGUUACCAGCAAGAACUUGAGCGGCAGCUCGAGGAGAAAGAGCACAAGAGACAGGAAGCCUAUGAAGAGUUUCUUAAAGAGAAACUCAUGGUGGACGAAAUAGUGCGGAAGAUCUAUGAGGAGGAUCAGAGGGAGCUUCAGUUACGACUCGAGAAAGUGGUGGCCACCCAGAGAUAUAUUGAAGAUUUUAAAAAGCAGCAAGCGGAGUGGAGACAUUUAGAGCGAGAGAAGGUGGAGGCGGAGAACAGGCGCAUCAUUGAGUUUGCACACUACCAGCAGAGGAAGGAGGAGGACAGGAUGGCCACAGUUAAAGAGCGAGAGCAGGCGAAAGAAACCCUCCACAAAAUGCUCUCUGUGCAGAUCGAGAUGGAGAAAAGAGAGCGUGAGAAGAUGGAGCGCGUCCGUGAGGAACUUCAUUUGGAAGAGCAGGCCGAGGCUGCAAGACAACAGGAAAUUGAAGAGAUGGAGAAGAGGAUCCGGCAGCGGCUAGAGCUGCAGCAGACCUGUCAGGAGAUGAUGGCCUUCAAGCAGUUGCGCAUACAAGCUGAGAAAGAGGAAGAGGAGGCUUUUAGACAGUUGCUGAUGGCCAAGUUUGCAGAGGAUGACCGCAAUGAGCAGAUGAAUGGCCAAAAGCGUCGUAUGAAACAGUUGGAACACAAACGGGCUGUGGAGAAGCUACUGGAAGAAAGGAGACAGCAGUAUCUGGCUGAACAAGAGAGGGAGGAAGAGGAGCGAGCUAUGGAGAAGGAGAGAGAGGCUCAACGACGAAAGAUCAUUGAAGAGGAGAGACAGAGGCUCCUAAAACAGCAUGCGACGAAACUGUUGGGAUACCUACCAAAAGGUAUUUUCAGAGAAGAUGACCUAGAGCACUUUGAUGAGGAUUUCAAAAACAAUUUCAAACAACGACAGGCUGAUAUUUUCUCAGAUGAGGGUUGGGGAGAUGCGUUGCAGUAGGCUAAUUUCCUGUGUGAUACAGCUUCAGCGUUGAAAUGUCAAUACCAAGCUAACACUGGUAAUGAGUCAAUAAGGUUGAGGGGAAUGUCCUAUGGCUGAGACGGAGUGCAGAUUGAAUUGUCUCGGAAUGAAGUCUCUGCAGAAGCUGUGCGUCUACAGUGAAGCUUAUGCUAAUAGACCAGACUCCAGUGCUGCAUUGGAUUAGUCUGAACAUGAUUUGACUUGGCUCAAUCAUGCUAUACGUCACCGGUUCUGCACAAACACCCUUAUUAUAUAUUGCCAAAAGGAAAUUAACUUAAUCUCAAAAGUAAAUAUAAGGUGUACAUGCUAACCAUAUUAAGAUAUGUGCAUCUUUAGAUGAAACAUUUAGAUGAUAUAUGCGUCUUUAGAUGAAACAUGGCUCAUUCCGUGGUUCUUUUUUGACCCCCAGAUAGUUGUUACCACCAAAACAUUCAAGCAUUUCCUGUGCCUUAUCUCUAAAUGAGUUGUGGUUAUAUGAAUGGGAUAUUCUUUGAGUCAUAAAGUACAAAGCAUUUUGAUUUGCACACAUCAUGCUUUUCCACAUGUUAAUGAUACAGUAUAGGAAAUUGGUUUGCAAAGCUAAAGAUAUUCUCAUAGAUGCAAACUCCUGACUUUUCAGUGAAAAUUCACCUUUUUGAGAUCAAAAUGGGGGGGAUGUCUUUUUACAGUGCCGGAAGUACCAACUCAGUUCUGUACCCGCUUGAAGUCAACUGUGUGUUUUUGUGUGCGUGCUCUGGUUUUGAAUUGCAAAACCAAAAGCUUCUAUUUACAACGUGUCUUGCAUCAUUGAGUAUUGUAGCCAAUCACAGGCAUCUCUGUUGAAAGCCGUGGCCAAUCAGAGGUGUUUACUCUAGGUUAGUCAAAAUCCACUCUGAUCUAAUUUGUUUUCGCAAGUUUGCGUAGUUCUAGACGCUCGUAGAUCUUCCUAACAAGACAUAUAGCAUACAUGAUAUAAAUAAGAUAUUCAUUGUGUAGUUAGUUAUUGAUUAUAUCAGGAGUUUUCGCAUGAGUAAGCUCGGUCAGUUACUCUAUAAGGAAAGCACCCUUUGCUCGGUUUCUCUGCAUACUUCAGAAAAGUUUGAGGAAAAGUUUAAGAGGACCAAACCGUCCACACAAGUUACUGUUUCAGGAAUGAAAAAUGCGAGUGUGAAAAAAAGGGAAUCCGCCAAAUUGAUCCGUGAUUGACAGUGAUGAUAACUGUAGCAAUGGACGGAACAAACUAUCUGACAAACCAAUGUUAAAACGGAGCUAGCCUGUGCUUUAAGUGGUGCAGAGUAAAUUCAGAAUAACAAAACUACAGCAGCAAGUCUGUGUUGCCUAUAGCAGCUUCUACAGGUAAAGAUAACUUAAAGCUCUCCUUUUGAUGUGUCCUUUUUAGGCAAUGUUUGAAAAAAUAUAGUUUUUAAAUAUAUUUUUAAAAAGCGCCAAAAUAUUUCAUGCAUUAUUUAAUAAUUUAAAUAUUUAACCCUACUAGGCUGUUGGUGUCUGGGCUUAUUUAUAUAUUUUAAAAUGACAUGAGACUUUGGGACUUCCUGCACUUGCUAUACUUCAUAGUCAUUUUAUAACAAAUCCAAAAGCAAGACAUGAGAAAAACUAGGGAGUUGAAAUGGCAACUGAGCUAAUUUGUGAUCCUCUGCUGCCAUCUACUGGAUAUAAUGGUAAUUUCAUGUCAUUUUCAUCUUAAAGGGGUCAUAUGAUG